GCGUGUGUGAAGAAGGUCUUCGGAUCGUAAAGCACUUUCGACGGGGACGAUGAUGACGGUACCCGUAGAAGAAGCCCCGGCUAACUUCGUGCCAGCAGCCGCGGUAAUACGAAGGGGGCUAGCGUUACUCGGAAUUACUGGGCGUAAAGGGCGCGUAGGCGGCGCUCCAAGUUAGGCGUGAAAGUCCUGGGCUCAACCUGGGAACUGCGCUUGAUACUGGAGUGCUUGAGGAUGGAAGAGGGUUGUGGAAUUCCCAGUGUAGAGGUGAAAUUCGU
RNAcentral lists this ribosomal RNA (275 nucleotides) under uncultured bacterium. RNAcentral describes it as "partial 16S ribosomal RNA". It matches the Rfam family "Bacterial small subunit ribosomal RNA", at positions 399 to 691 of the family's 1533-position model. The record is from RNAcentral.